GUGCAUAUCUGUUUGAAUAAAAGGGGAACCUUCCUCUAAGACUAAAUAUGAUAUAUAUGUGAUAGCGAAAAGUACCGUGAGGGAAAUGAUUGAAAUAGCAGUUUUAUAAGCAGCUCAAAAAAAGUUUAAAUAAACGAUAAGAGCGUACCUUUUGCAUAAUGGGUCAGCAAGUUAAUGUUUGAUGCGAGCAAUUUAGAAGUUUAGAAUUAAGAGUUGCUUUAUGUAUUGCGUAGAUAAAACAAUUAUGAUAUAAUGAUGUAGUAUCAAAAAUUAUACCCGAAGCUUAGUGAUCUUACCACAAUCAGGAUUAUAAAAGUCCGAACGGGUUAUCGUUGUAAAGAUAUCCGAAGAAUUGUGGUAAGUUAGUGAAAGACAAUACUGACUAAGAUAGCUGGUUUUCUGCGAAACCUAUAUAAGUAGGUAAUUUAAAUAGAAUAUCAGAAGGUACAGAAUUGUGAUCUCAUGCAACUAGUACUCAUUUUCCUGUUAACUUAGGAAAAAUGAAUAAAGUGCUUUUUGCGGACAUUGGGGGGUCGUGAAGACUCUAUCAGUGAGUAUUUGUUCUCGGAAGGACUAGAUAUGAAUAUUGAAUAAUCAGACAUAGUACGAUAAGGUUGUAUGUCUAAAGGGAAACAGCCCAGAACAAGAGUUAAUAAGGUUCCAAAAUUAUUGUUAAGUGAAAUUAAGGUAGUAUUUAUCCAAAACGGCCAGGGAAUAGGCUUAGAAGCGGCCAUUUUCUGAAGACCUCGUAACAGAGCACUGGUUUUGUUUUAAUGAUAAUAAGGAUAAAAGCACCGAAAAUUUAACGGAUCUAAACAAUAUACCGAGACCUUGUCCAAAUAUAUUAAUGUAUUUAAAUUUUACAUUGUAUAUUAGGGGUAGCGGAACAUUGGGGAAGUUUCUUAUUAUGCCUUUAUAAGGCAUAAAAUAUUUAACAACCCAAGCGAUAAUGCUGACAUGAGUAACGAUAAAGGGGAAUACCCUCGCCUAAAGCUUAUGGAAUUUAAUUAAAGUUACGGCCUCUAAGUUUAUUAUAUAUUUAAUGAAUAAUCUGUUAUUUAUUAAUAAUCCCAAAAGGGGUAAACGAUGAGCAAAUCUAAGAUUUAUAGAAAAUAUCAUUUCUACAUAGUGACAAAUGAUCUGGAAAACUGUAUAUCUCGUUUGCUAAAUAGGAAUAAACUAAAACAGAUGAUAUGUUUAGCAGAUGCUUUACCGUACCUAAAUACUACCACAAGUAAGCAAGUAGAGUAUACGAAGGCGUUCGAGUGAACAAUCAUUAAGGAACUCGGCAAAUUGACUCGCGUAACUUCGGGAGAAGGUGGGCCGUCCCUUUUGAUUAAUAUCAGAUAUGGGAUAGGAGGCACAGAAUGGUGUUGUACGACUGUUUAAUUAAAACAAAGCACGCUGCAAAGAAAUAAAUUCGAAGUAUUGGGUGUGAUCUCUGCCCGAUGGCGGCUGGCUAUCGGAUUUGCUUAGUUGACUGAUAUAAGCUAGGCUUUGAAGGAACCCCCGUUCAAUGGCGGCCUUACCUAUGAGGGUCCUAAGGUAGCGGAAUACCCUGGCCGUUAAAUGCGGUCUUGCAUGAAUGAUGUAACGAUACAACAGCUGUCUCAAUGAUUGGCUCGGUGAAAUUGGAAUAACUGUGCAGAUACAGUUUACCUCUAGUUGGACGAGAAGACCCUAUGCAGCUUUACUGUUGCUAGUUACCGAAUAUGAUAUAAUGAGUUUUAGUGUAUAAGGAAAUUGGUGAGAUAAAAUUGAAACACCUUUACUUCAUUUAUCAUAUUAUAUAAACCUUACCAGGGAAUAGGUCUAAUAAUGGCCAUUUCUUAAAGAAUUCAUGUUAACACAUGAGCACUGGUUGCAAUAUUUUAUAGGAACAAUUGCUAGGUGGCAGUUUAUGCGGGGCACAGAUCCCAUAAAAAGUACCUGCUCAAGUUUAACGGCUUAAUCUUGCUUUACUGUUUGACUUACACGUCUUUCAGUCGCGUAAGCGGGGCAUAUGAUCACAAGAUGCAGAAAGGAAAGGUCUUGGAUUAUUGAAAAAGCUACGCUAGGGAUAACAGGCUAAUUGCGCCAGAGAGUUCAAAUUGAGUGCGGAGUUUGGCACCUCGAUGUCGGCUUAGCUCAUCCACAUGAAUGCAGGAGUCAUGAAGGGUUCGACUGUUCGUCGAUUAAGGAGCUACACGAGCUGGGUUAAAUACGUCGUGAGACAGUAUGGUUUCUAUCUUCUAGAGGAAGUUAGAAUAAAAUAAGGAUAGCCCCUUGUACGAAAGGAGUUGGGUAUAUUAACCUAUGGUUUACCUGUUGUUU
Molecule: ribosomal RNA, 2313 nt
Filed under: Hypogymnia vittata
Lineage: Eukaryota; Fungi; Ascomycota; Lecanoromycetes; Lecanorales; Parmeliaceae
Description: 16S ribosomal RNA
Rfam family: Bacterial large subunit ribosomal RNA
Source: RNAcentral